AUGUUCACUUCAGCAGCAUAUAUACUAAAAUUGGAACAAUACAGAGAAAAUUAGCAUGGCCCAUGCGCAAGGGUGACACGCAAAUUCAUGAAGCAUUCUGUAUUUUU
Small nuclear RNA from Dipodomys spectabilis (banner-tailed kangaroo rat), 107 nucleotides. The record is from RefSeq and is a predicted model, not a curated record. Lineage: Eukaryota; Metazoa; Chordata; Mammalia; Rodentia; Heteromyidae.